GGCCUAAAUUUCUUGAAAUGUGUCCACUCUCUAAAUCCAAAGCCUUUUGUUGAUAUUUAAUCUUGUAAUAGGUUAAAAAGCCUUGUUAACAUCUAAUACUGACUUGAAUUCUUCAAUGUGGUCACUUUUAAAGUAGUCUAGUGAGACAAAACAGUAAUAUUGAUCCUUAGUCUACACCAUAAAAAAUAAAAAUAAAACUAUUUAACAACUUGAAAUUAUCUAAUGACUUAAAGACAAUCUACACAUACAAUUACUACCAACCUUUUAAGUUCAU
RNAcentral lists this long non-coding RNA (274 nucleotides) under Physcomitrium patens. RNAcentral's name for it is "long non-coding RNA (PPAT_LNC009750)". The record is from RNAcentral. Lineage: Eukaryota; Viridiplantae; Streptophyta; Bryopsida; Funariales; Funariaceae.